This is a long non-coding RNA of Leucoraja erinaceus (little skate), 2368 nucleotides long. RefSeq lists it as uncharacterized. The transcript is spliced from 4 exons. The record is from RefSeq and is a predicted model, not a curated record. NCBI's taxonomy places the organism in Eukaryota, Metazoa, Chordata, Chondrichthyes, Rajiformes, Rajidae.
GUUUUGCUAUUCAAUCACUGGUUACUCCUGCUGCAACAUGUUUGUACAGAGAAGAUAAGUGGUUAUAAUUAUACAAGCUUCCAGCUUGCACGCCACCCAUACUGUGCACACUUCCCCACUCAAUGACCUUCAUCAAAGAGCUGAGAGCUCUGCUGAUUUCUCCACCCAGCUGAGUUCCAUACUCUCUAUUCAAUGCAACUAAUUUCUAUAAGCUCCAUUAUUUGGAGUCCCUUUUGUGGCCUCUUUUGAUCCCGGUGAGUUAAUUCUCAUCUUCUUUACUUCUUCUGGUAUGGCAUUAACAUCAGCUUACUGGAUCAGUUUUGGUCUCUCUAGGGGAAGAAAAAUGAGGUUUUGUUACCACACUGACACCUGGAAAGCGUUAGGAACAGAAAUCAUCAGGAAAAAAUGGUGUUAUGUCCAGCUGUUUCCUUACAAGAAAAAAACAACAUUCGACGGUGGAUGUAAGUGCUACCGGAAGGGGAAGGUAUUCUACUGUGAGCAGACCUGCUGAAGCCACUGCAGCAAGCAACAUGGGACCACUGGAUUAUCACUGAUUAAUUCUUAUAGUGAAACUGUUAAACACAUAAUUUCAUGAUCUGUAAAUGUUAUGUAUCACUCUGCAUUCCAUUGAUGUUAUUGAUUUUUCAAGUAUUAAAAUCAUUUUUGUUUCUUUUUAUAAUGGCCUGAAUGUGCAGAAAUGAAAUGCUUAUUCCAGAGCUACAAUGAAUUGACAAUCAGUCUGAAGAAGGGUUUCGGCCCGAAACGUCGCCUAUUUCCUUCGCACCAUAGAUGCUGCUGCACCCGCUGAGUUUCUCCAGCAUUUUUGUGUACCUGCUACAAUGAAUUGGGUCAGUUUUUGAACAUGAUGGAGCCUAACCUGCAAAUAUAGGGGAAUGAUACAACCCCUCCUAUACAAUUGACAUAGGUACAAUUAUGAUUUCCCAAAGGAUUAGAUUGUGACCAAGGUUUGGAAAGUGGGGAUUCAUGUAUUGCAAUAGAGUUUUGAAUUGCUAAUAGCCAAGGCUAGUCCCCGCAUUGUUAUUGCAGUGGUUUGAUAGGAUUACACCCAGGUGAGCAUAGAACAUAGAAUGGAGCAGCACAGGAAAAUGCCCGAUUCACUCAGCGGGACAGAAUCUCUGGACAGAAGGAAUGGGUGAUGUUUCAGGUUGAGACCCUUCUUAAGACGGGUUUGAAGAAGGGUCUCGACCCGAAAUGUCACCCAUUCCUUCUAUCCAGAGAUGCGGCCUGUUCCGCUGAGUUACUCCAGCAUUUUGUGUCUAUCUUCAGUGUAAACCAGCAUCUGCACUUCCUUCCUACACAGGAACAUGCCAUUGGCCCGCAAUGUCCAUGCCGAACAUGAUGCUAAACUAAAUUAAUUUCAUCUGCCUGCACGUGAUCCAUAUCCCUCCAUUGCCUGCAUAUCCUUGUGCCCAUCUAAAAGCCUCUUAAACACCACUGUCCUAUCUGUUUACGAUCUUGGCAGCGCAUUCCAGGAAUCCACCAGAUUCUGUGUAGAAAAGCUACCUCACACAUCUCCUUUCCACCUUUGCCCCUCGAACCUUAAAUCUGUUAUUGGGUUUUUUCCCUGAGUUUUUGUUAUGUUAUUUAUUAUGUACAUAUUCUGUGUGCUGCAGCAAGUAAGACUUUCAUUGUUCUAUCUGGGACAUAUGACAAUAAAACACUCUUGACUCUUGCCUCUUGACAUGUCUUUAAUAUUUCCCACAUGGAAAAAGGUUCUGACUGUCAAUUGUUGAAGUCGUAUUCAGAGGUCUGGGUUACUGAUUAGGAAACAUGAACUUUAAACCCUCUGUGAGAAUUUACAAUGGUGUAAUGGUACAAUUAUAGCAUCUGAUCAGUAGUCCAUUCUUGUGAAAACUACUUCAAGACUAAAUGCAAUUAAUUAAAUAAAACUGGAUAAACAGGCUAAUUAUUAUUAAGUGUGAACAGAAAAUUCUGGAUUACUCUUUAAACAAACACUCUAGCUUACUGUUAUCCUUCAGAGAAGGAAGCUAUGCACCUCUACCCAGGUACCUACCUUAUGUCAUUCAAGACACGCCAAUCUGAUUGGUAUUAAAAUAGUUUAGGGAGCCAUUCAAUUCAGAGAGUCAAUUAGGGAUGGAUAAUAAAUGCUAUUCUUGCUAGUGCUGUUCAUCUCCAGUGAGUGAAUUAAAAAGAAAAGCUGAUUGACUAAUCUGUGUAUUUUCUGUUGUGAAAGUACUAUCUGAUGAUUUCCAUGAACACUCUGUGCUUAUGAUAAACCAGGAUGCGGUGGAGUUUGUUCCAUUUAAAACAAUACACUGCAAUUUGUGUUUAAUUAAGAUAGACUACAAAUUGUAAUUGGAGAUUAGGUGUUAAAAAGCAAAGAGUU